AACGAACGCUGGCGGCGUGGCUAAGACAUGCAAGUCGUACGGUAUGUUGUAGCAAUAUGGCAUACAGUGGCGGGCGGGUGAGUAAUGAAUGGGUAAUGUACCCUGGACACAGGAAUAGCGUCGGGACCCGCAAGGGUUCCUUUGCGAAAGUGACGGUAAUACCUGAUGAAGACGUCGGAAGGAUGCUUUCGACGUUCAAAGGGCGGGGACCUUCGGGCCUGCCGGUCUGGGAUCAGCCCAUUUCCUAUCAGCUAGUGGUGAGUAACGGCCCACCAAGGCAUCGACGGGUAGCCGGUCUGAGAGGAUGGUCGGCCACAUCGGGAACUGAGACACUGUCCGGACACCUACGGGUGGCUGCAGUAACGAAUAAUCCGCAAUGGGCGAAAGCCUGAC
This 393-nucleotide ribosomal RNA is filed under the name uncultured bacterium. RNAcentral's name for it is "bacterial SSU rRNA". It matches the Rfam family "Bacterial small subunit ribosomal RNA", at positions 29 to 387 of the family's 1533-position model. The record is from RNAcentral.